UCAACUAAGUAAAGAAUUAUUUGACAAAUAUAUAUAAUUUAUAGGAUUAUUUUUGUUAUGCGGGCUAGCGGGCUACCCUCGGCCCGUUCGGGCUGGCCCUAACGGGUAGCGGGCUUUUUAGGUCCGGGCUAAAAAGCCCUAUUGAAAUUCGGGCUCAAUAUUUAAGGCCCAAGCCCUAUAAUUAAUCGGGCUAAACGGGCGGGCCCAUACGGCCCGGCCCGUUUUGACAGCUCUAAUAUUGUACAAUGAUCAUGAUUUUAAAAUAUUAGGCAUUAAGGAAAGUUUUGUUAUUGUGGAUUUUUCAAAAGAUGAUGGAGAGUUACCUUGAUAUUAAAGGCUUUUGAAAACAUGAGUUUUUAUCUGCAAAUGAAUUUCAUUAUUUAACGAUAAAUACCAAAUAUUUUAUUUUUAGUGUAGAGUGUCACAACAUCGAUCAUAUAAUAUUGUCAACAACAAAAUGCAUCUUAUGUUACUUUUAAUUUAGAAAAAAUUGUGUUGGCACCACUUAGGUUCAUUAUUUAUAAAAUUAGUUUUAUUUUUCAACGUUUAUCUUUAUUAAUUAUCAUUUCGGAC
RNAcentral lists this long non-coding RNA (573 nucleotides) under Medicago truncatula (barrel medic). Its description in RNAcentral is "long non-coding RNA (MTRU_LNC003199)". Lineage: Eukaryota; Viridiplantae; Streptophyta; Magnoliopsida; Fabales; Fabaceae. The record is from RNAcentral.